UACAGAGGUCUCAAGCGUUGUUCGGAUUCAUUGGGCGUAAAGGGUGCGUAGGUGGCGCUGUAAGUCGGUGUGAAAUUUCGGAGCUUAACUCCGAAACUGCAUUCGAUACUGCGGUGCUUGAGGACUGGAGAGGAGACUGGAAUUCAUGGUGUAGCAGUGAAAUGCGUAGAGAUCAUGAGGAAGACCAGUGGCGAAGGCGGGUCUCUGGACAGUUCCUGACACUGAGACACGAAGGCCAGGGGAGCAAACGGG
This 252-nucleotide ribosomal RNA is filed under the name uncultured bacterium. Its description in RNAcentral is "partial 16S ribosomal RNA". It matches the Rfam family "Bacterial small subunit ribosomal RNA", at positions 524 to 776 of the family's 1533-position model. The record is from RNAcentral.